This 264-nucleotide long non-coding RNA is filed under the name Elaeis guineensis (African oil palm). Its description in RNAcentral is "long non-coding RNA (EGUI_LNC032443)". The record is from RNAcentral. Lineage: Eukaryota; Viridiplantae; Streptophyta; Magnoliopsida; Arecales; Arecaceae.
UACUGCAGUCUUACUGUAAGCAACUGUGAUAUCACAGGUAAAAAAAUCAGUCAUACAACUAUAGCAAUGAGAUGAUCACUAUCGUUUGGAUAGAAAUCCAUAUGAUCUCUGGUAUGAUCAUGCUCAGUAUUAGUUGUUCUCCAACAACCAUCCGCACUUGCCGCUCAGUAUCUCUACACCAUAGACUAGAGACCCAUCUAUCCCUAAGGAAGUGAAUCGUAUGUCGGUCUAUUUAGAUCGAUCACCAUCUCCAUGACUAUCCAA